Molecule: ribosomal RNA, 495 nt
Filed under: uncultured bacterium
Lineage: Bacteria
Description: partial 16S ribosomal RNA
Rfam family: Bacterial small subunit ribosomal RNA
Source: RNAcentral
GACGAACGCUGGCGGCGUGCCUAAUACAUGCAAGUAGAACGCUGAAGGAGGAGCUUGCUUCUCUGGAUGAGUUGCGAACGGGUGAGUAACGCGUAGGUAACCUGCCUGGUAGCGGGGGAUAUCUAUUGGAAACGAUAGCUAAUACCGCAUAAGAGUAGAUGUUGCAUGACAUUUGCUUAAAAGGUGCAAUUGCAUCACUACCAGAUGGACCUGCGUUGUAUUAGCUAGUUGGUGAGGUAACGGCUCACCAAGGCGACGAUACAUAGCCGACCUGAGAGGGUGAUCGGCCAAACUGGGACUGAGACACGGCCCAGACUCCUACGGGAGGCAGCAGUAGGGAAUCUUCGGCAAUGGACGGAAGUCUGACCGAGCAACGCCGCGUGAGUGAAGAAGGUUUUCGGAUCGUAAAGCUCUGUUGUAAGAGAAGAACGAGUGUGAGAGUGGAAAGUUCACACUGUGACGGUAUCUUACCAGAAAGGGACGGCUAACUACGUG